CCGCUUGCAGGGAAACAGAUGGACCCACGAAGUCCAGUUGAGUAUGAGAUUCAUAUUUUUGUACUUGGUUGUGUUGUUUGUUAUGUCUUCUACGAGGGCUAUGGCUUAUGACACUAAUCAGUAUAGAGAUGCAUUUCUCAUAUUCACGAUGGAGCUCUGACUUUUCGUUAUAACUUGAGUGUUUAUAGCAGUUCCUUCAUGUGGUGGAAUAUUAAUUUAUUCAACUCACUUGUUGGGAUGAACAACUCAAGUUUUAUAGAGGAGUUGAAUUACUUACAAUUGUAGGUCUUCAGGUUGUCGAUGGAGAUGGUGUAUAGUGCAUGAAUGUGGAUAAAACUUCGGUCCUUGUGAUUGAAACUUGUCCACACUUUAUGUACAUAUAUGCAUCAUUGAAAUCAAUGAUAAUCCAGAGUAAGUAGGUCGGUCAUCCAUCUGACCCGUCUUGAAACACGGACCAAGGAGCCCAACAACUGCGCGAGUCGCUCGGUCUUGUUUAGGCCAGAGAGGCGAAAUAAACAUAAUGGUAUGAUCCUUCAAAAUCUUUAGGGAUUAGGAGGCGCAAUACCAACCUGCUUUAAUUGCUUUUUUGCAAUGAAGCGGCGUUUGAGCGUAAUUGUUGGUACCCGAAAGAUGGUGAACUAUACUUGGGCAAGACGAAGCCAGAGGAAACUCUGGUGGAGGUCUGUAGCGGUUCUGACGUGCAAAUCGAUCGUCAGACCUGAGUAUAGGGGCGAAAGACUAAUCGAACCAUCUAGUAGCUGGUUCCCUCCGAAGUUUCCCUCAGGAUAGCUGGUACUAAUUACUCUGUAGCAUCCGGUAAAGCGAAUGAUUAGAGGUAUUGGGAUCGAAACGAUCUCAACCUAUUCUCAAACUUUAAAUGGGUGCGAAGCAUGACUUUUUUUGCUUAAAGUCUUGCUUUCGUAAGAGGAGUACCAAGUGGGCCAUUUUUGGUAAGCAGAACUGGCGCUGUGGGAUGAACCAAACGUGAAGUUAAGGAACCAAAUGCUGACGCUCAUGAGACCCCAUGAAAGGUGUUGGUUGCUAUAGACAGC
RNAcentral lists this ribosomal RNA (1052 nucleotides) under Feltria cornuta. RNAcentral describes it as "partial large subunit ribosomal RNA". It matches the Rfam family "Eukaryotic large subunit ribosomal RNA", at positions 405 to 1241 of the family's 3401-position model. Lineage: Eukaryota; Metazoa; Arthropoda; Arachnida; Trombidiformes; Feltriidae. The record is from RNAcentral. RNAcentral also lists the same sequence under 1 other name.